CCUACGGGUGGCAGCAGUGAGGAAUAUUGGUCAAUGGACGGAAGUCUGAACCAGCCAUGCCGCGUGCAGGAUGACGGCUCUAUGAGUUGUACACUGCUUUUGUACGAGAAUAAUAGUUCUUACGUGUAGGGAUUUGAAUGUAUCGUACGAAUAAGGAUCGGCUAACUCCGUGCCAGCAGCCGCGGUAAUACGGAGGAUUCGAGCGUUAUCCGGAGUGACUGGGUGUAAAGAGUUGCGUAGGUGGCAUAAUAAGUAGCUAGUGAAAUCUGGUGGCUCAACCAUUCAGACUAUUAGCUAAACUGUUAAGCUCGAGACCGUUAGGGGUAACUGGAAGUUCUAGUGUAGGAGUGAAAUCCGUAGAUAUUAGAAAGAACACCGAUAGCGUAGGCAGGUUACUGGGACGGUUCUGACACUAAGGCACGAAAGCGUAGGGAGCAAACGGGAUUAGAUACCCUUGUAGUC
Molecule: ribosomal RNA, 462 nt
Filed under: uncultured bacterium
Lineage: Bacteria
Description: partial 16S ribosomal RNA
Rfam family: Bacterial small subunit ribosomal RNA
Source: RNAcentral